This 276-nucleotide unclassified non-coding RNA is filed under the name Hevea brasiliensis (rubber tree). Lineage: Eukaryota; Viridiplantae; Streptophyta; Magnoliopsida; Malpighiales; Euphorbiaceae. The record is from RNAcentral.
GUAUCACUGCCCACUGACCCAUCACUAGAGUCCUUGGAAGGUGAUGAGCCAUUUGGCAGUAUAGAUUCUCCACUUGAAGGGGAAUUAACAUCAUGAGUUGCUACCUCAGCUUGGUUAGAAAGAUUGACAUCAGAGAUAUCAUGAUCUUCAAAUGGAUUCAAACUUGAUCCACCUACUUGCAAAUCUGAUGUUUCUCCCCAUCCUACCCAUGCAGGGAAAGGCCUGCCUCUAAACAAGUCAUCAUUGCCUGGAGUAUCAAAUCUGAAGAAUCCAAUA